RNAcentral lists this ribosomal RNA (253 nucleotides) under uncultured bacterium. Its description in RNAcentral is "partial 16S ribosomal RNA". It matches the Rfam family "Bacterial small subunit ribosomal RNA", at positions 1247 to 1500 of the family's 1533-position model. The record is from RNAcentral.
AAGCGAUACUGCGAAGUGGAGCAAAUCCCUAAAAGGCGUCUCAGUUCGGAUUGCAGGCUGCAACUCGCCUGCAUGAAGUCGGAAUUGCUAGUAAUCGCGGAUCAGCAUGCCGCGGUGAAUACGUUCCCGGGCCUUGUACACACCGCCCGUCACACCAUGAGAGCCGGGAACACCCGAAGUCCGUAGUUUAACCGCAAGGAGGACGCGGCCGAAGGUGGGUUUGGUAAUUGGGGUGAAGUCGUAACAAGGUAUC